This 583-nucleotide unclassified non-coding RNA is filed under the name Hevea brasiliensis (rubber tree). The record is from RNAcentral. Lineage: Eukaryota; Viridiplantae; Streptophyta; Magnoliopsida; Malpighiales; Euphorbiaceae.
AUCCUCCGGUCAAACUACAAGGCAGGUUCUUUCUGAAUCCUCUUUAAUCUUCAAUUUUGUUUACUUGUUGAUGGUAUCAGUUUGCUUGAUCAAUUGAAUUUGGUAUAUUCAACACCCAAAAUUUACAACCAAACUCUACACCCAAAAAUUUACAACCAAACUCUUUAUCAUGUUGGUAAUUGCAAAGAAAAUUCAUAGGUGGCAAUUAGUGCAUUUGAAUUAUUUUUCAGAAAACUGAUAUGCUUAAAAGUGUAAUUUUUUUUGUUCUCCUGUGAUCAUUGAUGCCAAUUCAUAUUAUGUCAUGAAAACCCAGAUUCCUAGAACUUCUAUACCUGGAUAAUUGUUUUUUUAGGAGGGAGAAAUUUUGAAGCUUAAUUAAGUAGAGCUGGGUUUACUGGGUUUUAUUUAUUUAUCUAUUUGUUUAUUUAUUUAUGGUUUUGGGUUAUAAGUUUCAUUAUUCAUUUUUGUCUCUACUAGACUCUAGAGUAUGUCAAGCAAUUUCAGUUGAGUUGCUGAAAAUGUGGUUUUUGUCAUUACUUAUCAGUCAAUUUUUAGGUUCAAGGUCUGCAUUUAUUUGUCUAAA